AAGUAAUUGAUUAACUUCGCAAAUUAUAUGACCACCAAGCCAAAGAUCGGUAGGGGUCUUUGAGAGAGAUAGCCCCGAGAAGGGCACUGAGACACUGGCCCUAGCCCCACGGGGUGCAGCAAGGCGCGAAACCUUUACACUACACCGCAAGUGUGAUAAGGGGACUCUAAGUGCUUUGCUUUUGCAAGGCUUUUACUAAGAGUAAGAAUCUUAGUGAAUAAGUGGUGGGCAAGACUGGUGCCAGCCGCCGCGGUAACACCAGCUCCACGAGUGGCAAUCGUAUUUAUUGGGUCUAAAGCGUCCGUAGCCUGUCCUAUAAGUCUCUUGUGAAAUCAUUAAUGUAAACUUAAUGGUGUGCUUGAGAUACUGUUGGACUAGGAACUGGGAGGAGUCAGAAGUAUUUCCAGGGGAGCGGUAAAAUGUUAUAAUCCUGGAAAGACUACCUGUGGCAAAGGCGUCUGACUAGAACAGAUUCGACGGUGAGGGACGAAAGCUAGGGGAGCAAUCCGGAUUAGAUACCCGAGUAGUCCUAGCUGUAAACGCUGCGAGCUAGGUGUUGCAUAUUCUUAGUGAAUAUGUAGUAUCGUAGUGAAGAUGUUAAGCUCGCCACCUGGGGAGUAAGGUCGCAAGACUGAAUUACAGAGAAAUUAGUUUUUCUCUGAACAGUAGACCUUAAAGGAAUUGGGCGGGGGAGCACUACAAGGGGUGCGGCGUGCGGUUUAAUCUAACUCAACGCAGAGAAUCUCACCAGGGGCGACGGCAGGAUGAAGGUCAGUCUAAAGGGCUUACCCAACGAGCCGAGAGGUAGUGCAUGGCCGUCGUCAGCUCGUGCCGUAAGGUGUCCUGUUAUUGGUGUUUUGCGUUAUUCCUGUGAGCAAUGAUCAGGAAUGUUAAGAAUAUCAACAGAGAGUCAGGCAACGAGCGAGAUCUGUACCUACAAUUGCUAACGAGCAGUUAUGUGAUCGAGCACAUUGUAGGGACUGCUCUCGAAAGGGAGAGGAAGGUGCAGGCUACGGUAGGUCUGUAUGCUCCGAAUCCUCUGGGCUACACGCGCGCAACAAUGGUAGUGACAAUGGGAUGCAACUCCGAGAGGAGAAGCUAAUCCUCAAAACACUAUCUUAGUCCAGAUUGUGGGCUGUAAUUCGCCCACAUGACGUUGGAAUCCCUAGUAAUCGGAUGUCAAAAUCGUCCGGUGAAUAUGUCCCUGCUCCUUGCACACACCGCCCGUCAAACCACCCGAGUAGGGUCUAGAUGAGGUCUUAUUUUUAAUAAGUUCGAAU
Molecule: ribosomal RNA, 1280 nt
Filed under: uncultured archaeon
Lineage: Archaea
Description: bacterial SSU rRNA
Rfam family: Archaeal small subunit ribosomal RNA
Source: RNAcentral